CGUUCGCCGGCGAGGGCCGGCGAGCUCGCUACCGGCGCUCUUCGUUGCCUGGCUCGCCGUGCGCCGGCCAGAUGUAUUGGGCGAUUAAACAGGGUGAUGUGGCCUGUGGAUAUUAUUAUGCAUGAUGCAAUGCAAUUUGGGAAGUGGCAUGUGAUAUGAUCUUCCAAGAAUUAAUGGCAAAGGACUGACUCAGAUAUAUCUGAAUUCUACUGCCACUACUCUGUUGCAAGUGUUGGUUCAUGUGAUUGAUUGCUCCCAUAUUCACCUGGGCCUAGGAGCUUGGCUGAUUUUUCACUCACAUCUCUUGUCUUAUUGGACGUUGUGGCGUUCGGCAUUUGUUUCCAACAGUUCAUUUCAAUCAUCUGAACAUCAAUGGAACUGUACACACUACACACAUAUGCUGCAGCUGCCUGUACUAAGCAGUCUUGCUGAUUCAGUUUCAAGAUCCCCUGGUGAUGAAACAUUUCAUAUUCAAAUUAAACCAACAUAUCCUUAAAAAAAUAUGUA
Molecule: long non-coding RNA, 507 nt
Organism: Oryza brachyantha (malo sina)
Lineage: Eukaryota; Viridiplantae; Streptophyta; Magnoliopsida; Poales; Poaceae
Exons: 3
Source: RefSeq, a predicted model, not a curated record